RNAcentral lists this long non-coding RNA (292 nucleotides) under Salvia miltiorrhiza (redroot sage). Its description in RNAcentral is "long non-coding RNA (SMIL_LNC012685)". Lineage: Eukaryota; Viridiplantae; Streptophyta; Magnoliopsida; Lamiales; Lamiaceae. The record is from RNAcentral.
AGAGGUAGGCGGAUGCCGGUGGCGUGGAGCUACUGGUAAUCGUCGGUCAAGCUUGAGCAUGAGAGAGACGGUGGUGGCGGUUUUGGCCGCUGCUCGCCGGGAGAGAAGAGAGGUGAGGGAGACAGUCGAGAGAAAGAUUUGAGGGAGGAGAAUAGAGGGGUCGAGGGUGAUGGUGAGGAUGACAGAGCGGCGCUCGUCGCCGGGAUGGUGGCACGCGGCCGUGAAGUCCGAGAGAGAGAGAGGGAGUGAGAUCUGCAAUUGUAUGAGUGUGUGCGUGUGUGUAGCGGCUGAG